This 323-nucleotide ribosomal RNA is filed under the name uncultured eukaryote. RNAcentral's name for it is "partial 18S ribosomal RNA". It matches the Rfam family "Eukaryotic small subunit ribosomal RNA", at positions 1470 to 1796 of the family's 1831-position model. The record is from RNAcentral.
CCCUUAGAUGUUCUGGGCCGCACGCGUGCUACACUGAACGGUUCAACGGGUAAGGUAGUGCGAAAGCAUGACCUAAUCUCGAAAUCCGUUCGUGCUGGGGAUAGAAGCUUGCAAUUAUCCUUCUUGAACGAGGAAUACCUUGUAAGCGUGAGUCAUCAUCUCACGCUGAAUACGUCCCUGCCCUUUGUACACACCGCCCGUCGCUCCUACCGAUUGAGUGUUCCGGUGAGGCUUUGGGAGAAUGGCCUCAACAUGAGUUUAUCGUGUUUUGCCGUUUGAACUUAGUCAAACCUUAUCACUUAGAGGAAGGAGAAGUCGUAACA